ACUCGACCUUGGCCUCCAGCAAUCGCGACAGCUAAAAACGGGUGUCUCGCUUCGACAAUAGAUCCCCGCGGACCUUCUGGCACCUGGUUCACUAGCGCCCGCGAACUCUGCCUCGGGAGACUUAUUGAAAUCCGGAUGCUCAAGCCGGGAGGCGCGCAGUAACCAGGAGGAUGAGAGGGCCGGGUUUGGGCUAGGAAAGCGGCCUUUUAAAACAGAUGUCAGGGGGACUGCAGCCCCGAGCCAUGAGAAAAAAGUUAAAGGCGAGAUGACACGCACUGAAUUGGGGCAAACAUUGGAAGAGGAGACAAAACUGCGUGCUUGAGCACCGGGGUGCGGGGAGGGGGGGACAAAACCCGUAUCCAGUGCAAAUUAAAAUCUUGGGAGUAGGUGG
RNAcentral lists this long non-coding RNA (391 nucleotides) under Homo sapiens (human). Its description in RNAcentral is "HSALNT0364943". The record is from RNAcentral. Lineage: Eukaryota; Metazoa; Chordata; Mammalia; Primates; Hominidae.